AACGAACGCUGGCGGCAUGCCUAACACAUGCAAGUCGAACGAGACCUUCGGGUCUAGUGGCGCACGGGUGCGUAACGCGUGGGAACCUGCCCUUAGGUUCGGAAUAACUCCCCGAAAGGGGUGCUAAUACCGGAUAAUGUCUUCGGACCAAAGAUUUAUCGCCUUUGGAUGGGCUCGCGUUGGAUUAGCUAGUUGGUAGGGUAAAAGCCUACCAAGGCGACGAUCCAUAGCUGGUCUGAGAGGAUGAUCAGCCACACUGGGACUGAGACACGGCCCAGACUCCUACGGGAGGCAGCAGUGGGGAAUAUUGGACAAUGGGCGAAAGCCUGAUCCAGCAAUGCCGCGUGAGUGAUGAAGGCCUUAGGGUUGUAAAGCUCUUUUACCCGGGAUGAUAAUGCCAGUACCGGGAGAAUAAGCUCCGGCUAACUCCGUG
Molecule: ribosomal RNA, 433 nt
Filed under: uncultured bacterium
Lineage: Bacteria
Description: partial 16S ribosomal RNA
Rfam family: Bacterial small subunit ribosomal RNA
Source: RNAcentral